Molecule: ribosomal RNA, 373 nt
Filed under: uncultured organism
Description: partial 16S ribosomal RNA
Rfam family: Bacterial small subunit ribosomal RNA
Source: RNAcentral
GUAGGUGGCAAGCGUUGUCCGGAAUUAUUGGGCGUGAAGCGCGCGCAGGCGGUCCUUUAAGUCUGAUGUGAAAGCCCACGGCUCAACCGUGGAGGGUCAUUGGAAACUGGGGGACUUGAGUACAGAAGAGGAAAGCGGAAUUCCAAGUGUAGCGGUGAAAUGCGUAGAGAUUUGGAGGAACACCAGUGGCGAAGGCGGCUUUCUGGUCUGUAACUGACGCUGAGGCGCGAAAGCGUGGGGAGCAAACAGGGAUUAGAUACCCUGGUAGUCCACGCCGUAAACGAUGAGUGCUAAGUGUUAGGGGGGUUUCCGCCCCCUUAGUGCUGCAGCUAACGCAUUAAGCACUCCGCCUGGGGAUACGGCCGCAAGGCUG